RNAcentral lists this ribosomal RNA (773 nucleotides) under Alosa mediocris (hickory shad). RNAcentral describes it as "partial 16S ribosomal RNA". It matches the Rfam family "Bacterial large subunit ribosomal RNA", at positions 565 to 1838 of the family's 2925-position model. Lineage: Eukaryota; Metazoa; Chordata; Actinopteri; Clupeiformes; Clupeidae. The record is from RNAcentral.
UAAAAGCAGAGACUACAUCUCGUACCUUUUGCAUCAUGAUCUAGCCAGUAACCUCAAGCAAAGAGACCUCUAGUUUGAACCCCCGAAACCGGACGAGCUACUCCGGGGCAGCCUAUUAUAGGGCCAACCCGUCUCUGUGGCAAAAGAGUGGGAAGACCCCCGAGUAGAGGUGAAAGACCUACCGAGUCAGGUUAUAGCUGGUUGCCCAAGAAAUGAAUAGAAGUUCAGCCCCGCUGCGCCCUCGCCCACAACAGUUUUACUUAAACAAGGCAUAAAGGACACCCGCGGGAGUUAGUCAAGGGAGGUACAGCUCCCUUAACAAAGGACACAACCUUAAACAGGAGGCUAAGGAAUAUAUUAAACUAAGGCCCUAGGUUUCAGUGGGCCUAAAAGCAGCCACCUGAACAGAAAGCGUUAAAGCUCAGACCAGUCCAAGCCUAUUAUAACAUUAAAAUCUCCAAAGCCCCUAGUAUUACUGGGCCAUCCUAUGCCCCCAUAGGAGGGACCAUGCUAGAACGAGUAAUAAGAAGAAAGACCUUCUCCCAGCACAUGUGUAAGUCGAAUCGGACACCCCAUCGACAAUUAACGAACCCAACAAAAGAGGGCAAUGCAUCACCGCCACCCCAGGCCAAGAAGACCAUGUAAUAGAACAUCGUUACCCCCACACAGGAGUGCUUAAAUCAAGGGAAAGACUUAAAGGAUAAAAAGGAACUCGGCAAACCAAAACCCCGCCUGUUUACCAAAAACAUCGCCUCCUGCCACCACUAAUUAUA